This 406-nucleotide ribosomal RNA is filed under the name uncultured bacterium. RNAcentral's name for it is "partial 16S ribosomal RNA". It matches the Rfam family "Bacterial small subunit ribosomal RNA", at positions 30 to 526 of the family's 1533-position model. The record is from RNAcentral.
AUUGAACGCUGGCGGCAGGCUUAACACAUGCAAGUCGAGCGAGCGGCGGACGGGUGAGUAAUGUCUGGGAAACUGCCUGAUGGAGGGGGAUAACUACUGGAAACGGUAGCUAAUACCGCAUACCAUCAGAUGUGCCCAGAUGGGAUUAGCUAGUAGGUGGGGAAAUGGCUCACCUAGGCGACGAUCCCUAGCUGUUCUGAGAGGAUGACCAGCCACACUGGAACUGAGACACGGUCCCGACUCCUACGGGAGGCAGCAGUGGGGAAUAUUGCACAGUGGGCGCAAGCCUGAUGCAGCCAUGCCGCGUGUGUGAAGCAGGCCUUCGGGUUGUAAAGCCCUUUCAGCGAGGAGGCUUUACUCUCAGAAGAAGCACCGGCUAACUCCGUGCCAGCAGCCGCGGUAAUAC